CCUACGGGCGACAGCAGUGGGGAAUAUUGCGCAAUGGGCGAAAGCCUGACGCAGCGACGCCGCGUGAGGGAUGAAGGUCUUCGGAUCGUAAACCUUUGUCAGCAGGGAAGAACGGUCACUGUGCUAUUCAGCAGUGAAUUGACGGUACCUGCAAAGGAAGCACAGGCUAACUCCGUGCCAGCCGCCGCGGUAAUACGGAGGGUGCGAGCGUUAAUCGGAAUUACUGGGCGUAAAGCGAGCGUAGGCGGUAUGUCAAGUCAAGGGUGAAAUCCCCGGGCUCAACGUGGGAACUGCCUUUGAAACUGGCAAACUUGAGUGUGUGAGAGGAUAGUGGAAUUCCAGGUGUAGGAGUGAAAUCCGUAGAUAUCUGGAGGAACAUCAGUGGCGAAGGCGACUAUCUGGCACAUAACUGACGCUGAGGAGCGAAAGCGUGGGUAGCAAACAGGAUUAGAUACCCGGGUAGUC
This 465-nucleotide ribosomal RNA is filed under the name uncultured bacterium. RNAcentral's name for it is "partial 16S ribosomal RNA". It matches the Rfam family "Bacterial small subunit ribosomal RNA", at positions 338 to 795 of the family's 1533-position model. The record is from RNAcentral.